AGAGUUUGAUUAUGGCUCAGGACGAACGCUGGCGGCGUGCUUAACACAUGCAAGUCGAACGAAAAGACGGAAAGAGCUUGCUCUUUUCAGAAUUGAGUGGCAAACGGGUGAGUAACACGUAAACAACCUGCCUUCAGGAUGGGGACAACAGACGGAAACGACUGCUAAUACCGAAUAAGUUCCAAGAGCCGCAUGGCCCAUGGAAGAAAAGGUGGCCUCUACCUGUAAGCUAUCGCCUGAAGAGGGGUUUGCGUCUGAUUAGCUGGUUGGAGGGGUAACGGCCCACCAAGGCGACGAUCAGUAGCCGGUCUGAGAGGAUGAACGGCCACACUGGAACUGAGACACGGUCCAG
Molecule: ribosomal RNA, 352 nt
Filed under: uncultured bacterium
Lineage: Bacteria
Description: bacterial SSU rRNA
Rfam family: Bacterial small subunit ribosomal RNA
Source: RNAcentral